GACGAACGCUGGCGGCGUGCUUAACACAUGCAAGUCGAACGGAAAGGCCCUGCUUUUGUGGGGUGCUCGAGUGGCGAACGGGUGAGUAACACGUGAGUAACCUGCCCUUGACUUUGGGAUAACUUCAGGAAACUGGGGCUAAUACCGGAUAGGAGCUCCUGCUGCAUGGUGGGGGUUGGAAAGUUUCGGCGGUUGGGGAUGGACUCGCGGCUUAUCAGCUUGUUGGUGGGGUAGUGGCUUACCAAGGCUUUGAAGGGUAGCCGGCCUGAGAGGGUGACCGGCCACCUUGGGACUGCGAUACGGCCCAGACUCCUACGGGAGGCAGCAGUGGGGAAUAUUGCACAAUGGGCGGAAGCCUGAUGCAGCAGCGCCGCGUGCGGGAUGACGGCCUUCGGGUUGUAAACCGCUUUCGCCUGUGACGAAGCGUGAGUGACGGUAAUGGGUAAAGAAGCACCGGCUAACUACGUG
Molecule: ribosomal RNA, 468 nt
Filed under: uncultured bacterium
Lineage: Bacteria
Description: partial 16S ribosomal RNA
Rfam family: Bacterial small subunit ribosomal RNA
Source: RNAcentral